GUCCCUAAAAGUACAAUAGGAUUACGCAAUACAAAAAUAGCAAGCAUUUAUGCAAAGGACGAAGAGCAAUCCAUCACAUGGUGUUAAUGUGAAGUAGAGGAUGCGCAUCUAAAUGUGAAGAUACGCUAACACUACCAGUCAAUGAUCCGGUAGAAGAAGAAGCAAUAUCCCAUGUCGCAGCAUGUUCACCUAUACAAUAAUCAACCUCUUCAUAAUCUUGCUGAAUUUGGGUCGAUGAAGCUCCCUGAGAGGCUCUAAUCCCUUCUAAUUCCAUUGCCACUGUCUUCAUGGUAGGUCUCUUCUUCCCAUUCAAGUCCAAGCACCUUUUUGCAAGCUUAGCAACUGCAACAAUCUCUUCUUUUCCACCCUCUUUAAGAACUCGAGUAUCAAGAAUUUCAAACAAACGAGUCUCCUCCAUUGAUUGUAGAAAAUAUGCAGUCAAAUUUCUCUCUUCAACAGAUCGUAAUGAAGAGAUGGCCUUUUGUCCUGUUAAAAGUUCAACAAGAACUACUCCAAAGCUA
RNAcentral lists this unclassified non-coding RNA (521 nucleotides) under Hevea brasiliensis (rubber tree). The record is from RNAcentral. Lineage: Eukaryota; Viridiplantae; Streptophyta; Magnoliopsida; Malpighiales; Euphorbiaceae.